Molecule: ribosomal RNA, 186 nt
Filed under: Heterorhabditis sp. SGmg3
Lineage: Eukaryota; Metazoa; Nematoda; Chromadorea; Rhabditida; Heterorhabditidae
Description: partial 18S ribosomal RNA
Source: RNAcentral
UUGCCUAUAAUACGCGUUGGAUAUCGUAACCGGGUAGUGUAGCUGUCUUCUGAGCAAGAGUGAGGAACACUUGUAGCGGGGCUUCGGCUCUUUCUACGAGAGAAAUCACGUUAAAUCGCAAUUGGCUUGAACCGGGCAAAAGUCGUAACAAGGUACCUGUAGGUGAACCUGCAGGUGGAUCAUCGC